AUGGUAGAGGCGCGGAGUGCCAUGAGUAACACAGGCGUAUGGCCGGUAAAGGCUGCUUGUGCAAAAGGGACGUUCCGCCGAAAUGAGGGCUGUUUUACCGCAGCUUUCGUUGGUUUGCUGUAAUAAGAUGCCGCAAACUGUCACAUCUGUGGAGAGCUUCCGU
This 163-nucleotide non-coding RNA is filed under the name uncultured Ruthenibacterium sp. RNAcentral describes it as "Lysine riboswitch". It matches the Rfam family "Lysine riboswitch aptamer". Rfam says of the family: Riboswitches are metabolite binding domains within certain messenger RNAs that serve as precision sensors for their corresponding targets. Allosteric rearrangement of mRNA structure is mediated by ligand binding, and this results in modulation of gene expression. This family includes riboswitches that sense lysine in a number of genes involved in lysine metabolism, including lysC. The record is from RNAcentral. Lineage: Bacteria; Bacillati; Bacillota; Clostridia; Eubacteriales; Oscillospiraceae.